UGACGGUACCGGAGAAUAAGCACCGGCUAACUACGUGCCAGCAGCCGCGGUAAUACGUAGGGGGCAAGCGUUAAUCGGAAUUACUGGGCGUAAAGCGAGCGCAGGCGGUGAUGUAAGACCGAUGUGAAAUCCCCGGACUCAACCUGGGAACUGCAUUGGUGACUGCAUCGCUUGAGUAUGGCAGAGGGGGGUAGAAUUCCACGUGUAGCAGUGAAAUGCGUAGAGAUGUGGAGGAAUACCGAUGGCGAAGGCAGCCCCCUGGGUCAAUACUGACGCUCAUGCACGAAAGCGUGGGGAGCAAACAGGAUUAGAUACCCUGGUAGUCCACGCCCUAAACGAUGUCAACUGGUUGUCGGGUCUUCAUUGACUUGGUAACGUAGCUAACGCGUGAAGUUGACCGCCUGGGGAGUACGGUCGCAAGAUUAAAACUC
RNAcentral lists this ribosomal RNA (431 nucleotides) under uncultured bacterium. RNAcentral describes it as "bacterial SSU rRNA". It matches the Rfam family "Bacterial small subunit ribosomal RNA", at positions 470 to 902 of the family's 1533-position model. The record is from RNAcentral.